AGGCACAAGUAGGACACCAACAUUACCUGCAAGCAAGACGCAAAAUUAAUAGAACAUCACCAUACUUGUGGCUUUCUUGCAAGUCGUGCAGUUGCUGCCUCAAGCUUGCUGCCU
This 114-nucleotide microRNA precursor is filed under the name Hordeum vulgare. Its description in RNAcentral is "miR444a stem-loop (hvu-MIR444a)". Its record names the gene hvu-MIR444a. The record is from miRBase by way of RNAcentral. Lineage: Eukaryota; Viridiplantae; Streptophyta; Magnoliopsida; Poales; Poaceae.